This 96-nucleotide signal recognition particle RNA is filed under the name Kistimonas sp. RNAcentral's name for it is "signal recognition particle sRNA small type". It matches the Rfam family "Bacterial small signal recognition particle RNA". From Rfam's summary of the family: The signal recognition particle (SRP) is a universally conserved ribonucleoprotein involved in the co-translational targeting of proteins to membranes. Archaeal SRP consists of a 7S RNA and homologues of the eukaryotic SRP19 and SRP54 proteins. Lineage: Bacteria; Pseudomonadati; Pseudomonadota; Gammaproteobacteria; Oceanospirillales; Endozoicomonadaceae. The record is from RNAcentral.
UGUCAGCCCCCCGCAACGGGUAGCCGUGAACCCCGCCAGGCCCGGAAGGGAGCAACGGUAGCGGUGAGCCUGUGUGCCGGGUGUAAGCUGGCGGAG